UAUUCUACCCAGUCGGGAAGGAUGAGAAGCUUCGACUAAGGUUCGAUUCGAGCGUAGCGAGAAAGCGUUGCCGCAGGCAACGACCCGAAGGGCGAAGCGCGCAGCGCUGAGUCAUCCUUCCCCCACCACCA
Molecule: small RNA, 131 nt
Filed under: Citrobacter youngae
Lineage: Bacteria; Pseudomonadati; Pseudomonadota; Gammaproteobacteria; Enterobacterales; Enterobacteriaceae
Also listed under: 4 other names
Description: RtT sRNA
Rfam family: RtT RNA
About the family: This family represents a bacterial cis-regulatory element known as RtT RNA. The exact function of RtT is unknown although it is thought that it may be involved in changing the cellular response in relation to amino acid starvation.
Source: RNAcentral